AAUGAAGAACGUAGCGAAAUGCGAUAAGUAGUGUGAAUUGCAGAAUUCAGUGAACCAUCGAAUCUUUGAACGCACAUUGCGCCCGGCAGUAAUCUGCCGGGCAUGCCUGUCCGAGCGUCAUUUCUGCCCUCGAGCGAGUCCAGCAUCUAGGUGCUGGGCCCGCCCGGCGUUGGGGCACUACGGGAAGCCCUGUGCUGUCCCCCGUAGGCCCCGAAAUGAAGUGGCGGUCCUGCCGCGGCGCCCCCUGCGUAGUAUAACAGCUCGCUUCGGGACCCGGUGGAGGCCUGCCGUCAAACCUUACUCUCUAAGUUUGACCUCGGAUCAGGUAGGGUUACCCGCUGAACUUAAGCAUAUCAAUAAGCGGAGGA
This 368-nucleotide unclassified non-coding RNA is filed under the name soil metagenome. Its description in RNAcentral is "partial contains 5.8S ribosomal RNA, internal transcribed spacer 2, and large subunit ribosomal RNA". The stretch from base 2 to 120 matches the Rfam family "5.8S ribosomal RNA", at positions 36 to 154 of the family's 154-position model. The record is from RNAcentral.